UGGGGAAUAUUGCACAAUGGGCGCAAGCCUGAUGCAGCAACGCCGCGUGAACGAUGAAGGUCUUCGGAUCGUAAAGUUCUGUUGCAGGGGAAGAUAAUGACGGUACCCUGUGAGGAAGCCCCGGCUAACUACGUGCCAGCAGCCGCGGUAAUACGUAGGGGGCUAGCGUUAUCCGGAUUUACUGGGCGUAAAGGGUGCGUAGGUGGUCCUUCAAGUCGGUGGUUAAAGGCUACGGCUCAACCGUAGUAAGCCGCCGAAACUGGAGGACGUAAGUGCAGGAGAGGAAAGUGGAAUUCCAAGUGUAGCGGUGAAAUGCGUAGAUAUUGGGAGGAACACCAGUAGCGAAGGCGGCUUUCUGGACUGCAACUGACACUGAGGCACGAAAGCGUGGGUAGCAAACAGG
RNAcentral lists this ribosomal RNA (403 nucleotides) under Verrucomicrobiota bacterium. RNAcentral's name for it is "Verrucomicrobia bacterium partial 16S ribosomal RNA". It matches the Rfam family "Bacterial small subunit ribosomal RNA", at positions 355 to 776 of the family's 1533-position model. The record is from RNAcentral. Lineage: Bacteria; Pseudomonadati; Verrucomicrobiota.